RNAcentral lists this transfer RNA (73 nucleotides) under Neotoma lepida (desert woodrat). It matches the Rfam family "tRNA". Rfam says of the family: Transfer RNA (tRNA) molecules are approximately 80 nucleotides in length. Lineage: Eukaryota; Metazoa; Chordata; Mammalia; Rodentia; Cricetidae. The record is from Rfam by way of RNAcentral.
UGGGAUGUAGCUCCAACUGCAGAGUACUUGCCUGGUGAGCAUGAAGCCCUGGGGUCAAUCCCCAGCACCACAU